GGUUGGAUCAUUAACAAAUUCAACUUUGUUGAAGGAGUCUUCAAAGCAGUAAAAAGCUUUGAAACUCUUUCUUCAAGCACCCCUUUGUGAACCGUUUAUUGUCUCUGGUGUGGUUAAACGUAGACUCUAGAGCUUGGGGCCUUAAACUUCUUUGCUCUUCGUUUAUGGGGAAACACCUUUUGGUUUUCCUCACCCACUGUUAUAUAUUUAAACUACUAGUCAAUAUUCGUCUAACCAAGUUAUAUUUUUUAAUAAAAAACAACUUUUGACAACGGAUCUCUUGGCUCUCGCAACGAUGAAGAACGCAGCGAAAUGCGAUAAGUAAUGUGAAUUGCAGAAUUCCGUGAAUCAUUAAAUCUUUGAACGCACAUUGCGCUUCCUGGUAUUCCGGGGAGCAUGUCUGUUUGAGAAUCAGUUUAACUCUCAUACACUAAUAGUGUUGUAUUUAACGUACACAUUUGUUAGUGUUAUGGACUUGGGCAAUCUUUGAGUCUUAACCGAUUAUUCAAAGUAACCUUAAAUUGAUUACCUAUUUCCUCUCUAUGAUUUCCGUCUUUUUUACAAAAGUAUAAAUUGCCUUUAGAAUUAUAUUAGACGGAACUGGAAAGCACGAUUAAUGGAACUAUUUUGUUUCUUUUCGACUGCUGAUAAAAGUUCACUAACGUUUAAAUAUCUUUAGGCAAGAAAGGGAAUCCUUCUCAAGUGCAUUUGCGUGCACUGGGUCGAGAAAGCAUGAAGUAGUUUAUCAUUUCAAUACGAGUGGGCGAUUGCGGCAUGCCGUUGUGACCCCAUUUAAGACUUGAUCUCAAAUCAGACAAGACUACCCGCUGAACUUAAGCAUAUCAAUAAGCGGAGGAAAAGAAACUAACAAGGAUUCCCCUAGUAACGGCGAGUGAAGCGGGAUCAGCUCAAAUUUGAAAUCUCACUGAUUUAUUAGUGCGAAUUGUAGUUUAAAGAAGUAUUUUCGGAGGCAAGGCAGGUAAAAGUCCUUUGGAAAAAGGCAUCAUAGAGGGUGAGAAUCCCGUCUUUGAUCUGCAUCUUGUCUUCAUGUGAUAUACCUUCAAAGAGUCGGGUUGUUUGGGAAUGCAGCCCAAAAUGGGUGGUAAAUACCAUCUAAAGCUAAAUAUUGGCGAGAGACCGAUAGCGAACAAGUACCGUGAGGGAAAGAUGAAAAGAACUUUGAAAAGAGAGUUAAAUAGUACGUGAAAUUGUCAAAAGGGAAACGCUUGAAACCAGUUUUGCUGGCAGAAACCCAACUGCUCCAACGAGUAGCAUAUGUUUUUGUUGGCAGGUCAACAUCAGUUUUGACUGGAGUAUAAAGCUCGUGGAAGGUAGCCCCUCGGGGUAUUAUAGCUGCGAGUCAUGCUCUGGUUGGGAUUGAGGUCUGCAGUGUAGUCUUGGGGACCCGUUCGCCAGUUGAAGCUUUGGCCUAGACAACUUGUUGAUUAGGUUAAAGAAUUGAGAUUGCCCGGGCGGUUUACCACACCUAUGCUUAGGAUGUUGACGAAAUGGUUUUAAACGACCCGUCUUGAAACACGGACCAAGGAGUCUAACACCUAUGCGAGUAUUUGGGUUUUUAAGCCCGGAAUGCGUAAUGAAAGUGUUAAGGUGGGAUCUUCGGUGCACCAUCGACCGGUCUUGAUAUUUUUGGAUAGAUCUGAGUAAGAGCAUAUUUGUUAGGACCCGAAAGAUGGUGAACUAUGCCUGAAUAGGGUGAAGCCAGAGGAAACUCUGGUGGAGGCUCGUAGCGAUUCUGACGUGAACGAAAAUAAAACAUUCAUGUUUAUUUGCGCGUCCAAGAGUGACCUGAAAGGGAAGCUAGUAGGGUGCAUGCACAUACAUCCUGCAACACUGUCAAAUUGCGGGGACUUCCUAAAGCUUUGUCUACCAAGUUAGAAUACGAAAGUUUCUAAUGGCCGGGUUAAUUGCCCUGGGUAUGGUAAAAACGACAAUGAUACUACAAUGGAUAAUCCGCAGCGAAGUCCUAAGUGAAGAAUUCAUAAGGUCAGCGUUCAGAGACUAGACGACAGUGGGCACUUUGUAGUGCUUGAGAUAUAGUCCAACUGCCCUUGAAAGGGGGUCGAGUACGCGGUAGAAAGCAACUGGGAACCCGGUUGCGGAGAGACCUGCUCGCGGUAAUUUUACAUUACUGAGAUCAAUUGGCAAAUCGAUCGUCAAAUUUGGGUAUAGGGGCGAAAGACUAAUCGAACCAUCUAGUAGCUGGUUCCCUC
This 2231-nucleotide unclassified non-coding RNA is filed under the name uncultured fungus. Its description in RNAcentral is "sequence contains 18S rRNA gene, ITS1, 5.8S rRNA gene, ITS2, 28S rRNA gene". The stretch from base 801 to 2231 matches the Rfam family "Eukaryotic large subunit ribosomal RNA", at positions 1 to 961 of the family's 3401-position model. The record is from RNAcentral. Lineage: Eukaryota; Fungi.